GAUGAAGAACGUAGCGAAAUGCGAUACGUAAUGUGAAUUGCAGAAUUCAGUGAAUCAUCGAGUCUUUGAACGCACAUUGCGCCCCCUGGUAUUCCGGGGGGCAUGCCUGUCCGAGCGUCAUUGCUGCCCUCAAGCACGGCUUGUGUGUUGGGCCUCCGUCCUCCUCCCGGGGGACGGGCCCGAAAGGCAGCGGCGGCACCGCGUCCGGUCCUCGAGCGUAUGGGGCAUCGUCACCCGCUCUUGUAGGCCCGGCCGGCGCUUGCCGACACAUCAAUCUUUUUUCCAGGUUGACCUCGGAUCAGGUAGGGAUACCCGCUGAACUUAAGCAUAUCAAUAAGCGGAGGA
This 345-nucleotide unclassified non-coding RNA is filed under the name soil metagenome. Its description in RNAcentral is "partial contains 5.8S ribosomal RNA, internal transcribed spacer 2, and large subunit ribosomal RNA". The stretch from base 1 to 120 matches the Rfam family "5.8S ribosomal RNA", at positions 35 to 154 of the family's 154-position model. The record is from RNAcentral.